This 2675-nucleotide long non-coding RNA is filed under the name Equus caballus (horse). Its description in RNAcentral is "lncRNA (ENSECAG00000047415.1)". The record is from RNAcentral. Lineage: Eukaryota; Metazoa; Chordata; Mammalia; Perissodactyla; Equidae.
UUGCGCCUUGCUCAUAUUAGGCGUUUAAUUAACUUUAGGUAACUGAUUAUUGAAUGAAUCCCAGGCAAAUUACCUUCGGAGUUCACCUUCAUAAAUCCGGACCCCCGCAAUUCCUUUUAUAGGCGGAAGGAGGAAUAUUGCGAUGAUUAAUAAUCGCGCAGCAGGGUUGCUGAUGUAAAGCGAUUUGCAGAUGUAAAGGGCAAUAAGCAUUCCUAGGAGGAAUCCAGCGAGAUUCCAGAAGUCUCCGAGGGAGCCGUGGGUGUGUGCCGCCGGAUCAGGAGGGCGGGGGCGGGGCGGGCAGUGCCGCAGUGGCCUCAGCUGGGGAGCCGACUGCGGGCGGAGGGUUAACUCUUCAAGCUGCUGGCUCGCGGGCUCACUGCCCCCAUCCCCCUGCCCGUUACCCCGUUCUUCUGGCCAGAGGAGUGUCUGUUUUUCAAAAUUUCAGAGCUGGAACGCACAUCAUACUAUUCUCUAAUUCAGCCUUUCCGUUUCACAAAUGGAGAAACUAAGGCCCAGAGAAGUUGGUUCACCCCUCCAAACUUGCAUAGCUAGUUAGAGACAGGUGAAAGCCAGGUUUCCGGGCUUCAUAUUAGUGUCCCUUGCACCUCACCUCUAACUCCCUGUGCUCUUGUGGCUGCGGGACCCUGUUGCCUGGCUCAGAUGGUGGGGUGUACAAUGAAGCUAAAUACUGACUUCAGGGCUCCUAAAGGAUGCGAGUGGCACGUCUACAGCCAUACACAGCCCCACAGCAUGACACUAGGGCCUGGGGUGAUGGCCAGGAGGGGUGUCCUCCCCAAACAACCAGCAUUCCUCCUGUAUUGAAGGACUGUAGUGGCUGGAAUGGCUACCCUUGUCCAGAGAACCUGAGUUGGCUGUCCUGAAACCAGUCUUAGACGAUCAGUUGGUCCUUUUUCAAUUACCCAAGCCUUGCAUUAACCUUUUCUCAGCCAAGUCGACAGCAGAAGGCAUGAGUAACCUGAAGCCAUGGAAACCCCAUUGGAACGUCUUUUCAUGGCUGAAUAUGAAGGCAGCUCAGACCGAGAAGACUGGUGCCCACCGCUCGCCUCCGGGCAUCCCUCCUGGCGGAGUUGGGAAGUCUGGGAUCCUUCGCCUCUCUCUCUGAUCGUGCGGAGCCAUAGCUGCAGAAGCAGCAGCUCUGCCCCCUGCUGGACACGUGAGGCAGCCCGCACUUUUCCUGUUCCAGAUGCAGCGCCCUUGUGGUGCUGGGGGGAAGAGAUUUUUUGGCUCACUCUGAUGGAAACAGCAAAACUGGGCGGAAUAAAAAUCCCAGGUUUUUUUUCUCUCUAGUUUAUUUCUGAGGAUCUGAUCUAUUUGGAUGCAGAAAACAUUUCUGUUGUUUCUCUUGCCUGGACGGCUUUUUUCCUUCCUGCUAGCCAAACCCGGCCCCUUUCAAGCCCUGUUUCAGAGUCCACCUCCUCCAAAACGCCCUUUCUGACUCUCCUCUCCUAUGUGAAUGUUUUGAAAUACAGCUAUGCACAGACCCGGCCCACGGAGUGCACACUCACAUACUGGCUUUACUGUUGUGUCCUUGAGGGUGGGGGCCAGGUUUGUGUGGCCUUUGUGUUCACAGACCCCGCCCGUAAGGUCCAGCACAGAGCUGGGGAUGAAACCUGCUGGCAAGCCCUUGUUGAUUAAUGGAUUAAUUAAUCAAUUAGUUUCUACGGAAGCAACUCCAAGCCUUUGCUUUGAUAAAUCUUCCUCUUAGCUCUUUGGGGGAAUCUAGAUAGUGAUGUAAUUCAAUAUAGCCUUGCACAAUAAGUAGUUUCACAAAGCAGUUUCACAAGAGAACACCACCACCACCCAGAGAGGGAUGAGGAAGUUUGGAGUGGUCUGUUAGAAAGAUGAGGAGGAGGGUGGCGAUGUGGGAAGGAUGAAGAAUUAGGAGAGGGGAUCUCUGCUCCAGGGUUCAGCGACGCAGCACAGCCUCUAAAGCCAGGUUUAUAUCCAGACUCCACCACUUGCUGUGUGGCCUUGUACAAGUUUACUCUUCUCUCUGUGCCUCGCUUUUCUCCUCUGUAAAAAUAAGUGCCCAUCCUAUCGCGAUAUGAUGAGGAUAAAUUGACUUGAUAUUUGCAAAGUGCUAGGACAGUGUCUGGCACAUAGUAAGUGCUAUAUAACAGUUUGUAAAUGAGUUUUCCAGCUUAGCUGUCUUGUAAAUGGAAUGGGGGAAGAUUAUAUGAUCUCUCAGUUCUCUCCCGUGCUGACCUUCCGGGGCAGUGCAUGAGCUUUGCGGUCAGACAGGUCUGGGUUGACUCCUGUCUCUUUUAGCACCUGCAUGACCUGGGGCAGAUGGCUCUCCUUGGAGCCUCAGUUUUCUCUUCUGUGAAGUGGGGAUAAUUGUGUCUACCUCAAAAGACUUGUGUGCAUUCCGUGCUUGUAAAAUGCCUGGCAUGUAAGAAGCUCAAUAAACAGAAGCUCUGAUUAUUAUUAUCUAUGAGAAGAGAGCUGUAGAUAAAGGAGAAUAGAGUCUCUAAAAUCUUUGAGGUUUCAAGAAAGAUUGAACGUAUUGAAUAGCAAUGAGCUCAGCUCAAUUCACGGAGUUUGGGGGUGGGACGGUGGGCCCUGAUCUGGGCCCUGACCAGAUAGCACAACAUCAGAAGAAACCAGGAAUGGUGUGACUCACACAUCAGCUCUAGGAACAUUUUCUGCCCGAG